CGCGUAGGUGGUUGCGUAAGUAACGUGUGAAAUCCCUCGGCUUACCCGGGGAAUUGCAUGUUAUACUGCGUGGCUUGAGGAUCACAGGGGAAAGCGGAACUCCAGGUGUAGCGGUGAAAUGCGCAGAUAUCUGGGGGAAGGCCGGCGGCGAAGGCGGCUUUCUGGGUGAUUCCUGACACUGAGGCGCGAAAGCGUGGGGAGCAAACA
Molecule: ribosomal RNA, 207 nt
Filed under: uncultured bacterium
Lineage: Bacteria
Description: partial 16S ribosomal RNA
Rfam family: Bacterial small subunit ribosomal RNA
Source: RNAcentral